Molecule: non-coding RNA, 1081 nt
Filed under: Pan troglodytes (chimpanzee)
Lineage: Eukaryota; Metazoa; Chordata; Mammalia; Primates; Hominidae
Source: RNAcentral
CUCUCUGCCUUAUCCCAGCCCCUUGGUUGACGGUCGCCUCAGAGAAGCCCUGGAUGAGGCUGAAGACACAUCUAACAAGGAGGACACAGCACAGCACAAAUGCACACCGCCACAGGACACAACCCGAUGACAGCAGACAAAGAGAGGCCGUACUCGGUCUUUGCUGGCGCAGGCGAAACAGAGCUGUCUGCAGUGGAAGGAGCAAGCUCAGGGGCUUGUCCACUGGCCCCAGCGGCGGGAGCAGGAGAGCCCAGGGCUGCAAAAACAUCCUUUGCAAGGGUUCCAAAUGGAGAACGUGCAAUGAAAGGAAAGGCACCAGCUGAUGGCACAGGGUGGUGCAGCUGCUGGGUCCCUGGGCUGGAGCAGAGCCCAAACCUCAGCAAGGUGGACAGGUCUGCACUCACGAGAAGGCGGCCUUGCCCUCUUCCAUGUCCUUGCCCUUGGCCCCGGGCCCGGCUUUUCCACACAGGUUGACCGCAAUGCACAUGAACAGGCCACACUUGUUCAGGAAGUAGCAGGUGAUGUCCACAAUCACCAGGAGCAGGACGAAGAUGACGAUGAGGAUGCCCACGAUGGCCCCGGUGCUCAGGCCUGAGGUGGGGCUGCCGUUGGCUUGAGUGGGAGAGAGAUGGCUGGUGGUUAACAGACUGAGAUGCGAGACCUCCAGACCCUGCCAGCAAAAGCCCCUGCGGGUGGGGAGGGCCCAGAGGACAGAGUCAUGGCAUUCAUGCCCAGAGUGACACCUUCCUGGGGACCUUCUAUGCCCCAGAAUUGAGAAAACAGGGUCUUUCUAUACCUUCCAGAGGGAGGGAUGACAACAUCAUCUCACAGAUUGGGGGACAGGGGUGAGCCUGGUCAGCUGGCCUCCCGUGAGUCCUGGGAGCAGACUGAGCCCCGCCUGUCUGAGAACACCGGAUAAUGAGGCAGUUGGAGGGCGCUGCUGUGUUUCCCCUGGACCAGGGCAAAAGGCUUUGCAGCACAGGCAGGCAGUGAUCACUGAUUUCAGGCGGGGCUGUGGCUCCUCAAGUGCUCAGGGAUAGGGGCCCAAAAUGGGGUGGUGGAGGGUUCCUGGGGCUUUCUU